ACUCCUAAACAGAGUGCAGAGCUGCUGAUACUUCCCAGUCUUCCCAACAAAGACGUCCUCAUCAACGUGCUGUUUGACUUCCUGACUGAGUCCCCGACACAGAGGAGACUCCCACAGUUCCUGUCUCACCUCGUUAUGUUCCUUGAGACGGGAAACCUUUCCUGUUCCUCGUACAAAACACUGUUCACCCGACUGGACGAGGCCGUGUCUGUCGCUUCCUCUGACGUUGCAUCGUCCAUCUUAUCCAGCAAAUCAGCUUUGUUCAAACUGAUACCACCAGGUUGUACAAUAUACAGCACAG
Long non-coding RNA from Nematolebias whitei (Rio pearlfish), 301 nucleotides. RefSeq lists it as uncharacterized. The transcript has 4 exons. Lineage: Eukaryota; Metazoa; Chordata; Actinopteri; Cyprinodontiformes; Rivulidae. The record is from RefSeq and is a predicted model, not a curated record.